GUAGGUGGCAAGCGUUGUCCGGAAUUAUUGGGCGUAAAGCGCGCGCAGGUGGUUCUUUAAGUCUGAUGUGUAAGCCCCCGGGCUCAACCGGGGAGGGUCAUUGGAAACUGGGGAACUUGAGUGCAGGAGAGGAAAGUGGAAUUCCACGUGUAGCGGUGAAAUGCGUAGAUAUGUGGAGGAACACCAGUGGCGAAGGCGACUUUCUGGCCUGUAACUGACACUGAGGCGCGAAAGCGUGGGGAGCAAACAGGAUUAGAUACCCUGGUAGUCCACGCCGUAAACGAUGAGUGCUAAGUGUUGGGGGGUUUCCGCCCCUCAGUGCUGCAGCUAACGCAUUAAGCACUCCGCCUGGGGAGUACGGUCGCAAAGACUG
This 373-nucleotide ribosomal RNA is filed under the name uncultured organism. RNAcentral describes it as "partial 16S ribosomal RNA". It matches the Rfam family "Bacterial small subunit ribosomal RNA", at positions 527 to 896 of the family's 1533-position model. The record is from RNAcentral.